CUAUUACUCCCUUCGUCCGAAAUUACUUGUCACAGAAAUGGAUAAAAACAAAUGUAUGUAAGACUAAAAUACGUCUACAUACAUUCAUUUUUUGGACAAGUAAUUCUGGACGAAGGGGGUAUUUG
Non-coding RNA from Triticum urartu, 125 nucleotides. NCBI's taxonomy places the organism in Eukaryota, Viridiplantae, Streptophyta, Magnoliopsida, Poales, Poaceae. The record is from Rfam.